UGAAGAAGGCCUUCGGGUUGUAAAGCUCUUUUGUCAGGGAAGAAACGGUGGGAGCUAAUAUCUCCUGCUAAUGACGGUACCUGAAGAAUAAGCACCGGCUAACUACGUGCCAGCAGCCGCGGUAAUACGUAGGGUGCAAGCGUUAAUCGGAAUUACUGGGCGUAAAGCGUGCGCAGGCGGUUUUGUAAGUCUGAUGUGAAAUCCCCGGGCUCAACCUGGGAAUUGCAUUGGAGACUGCAAGGCUAGAAUCUGGCAGAGGGGGGUAGAAUUCCACGUGUAGCAGUGAAAUGCGUAGAGAUGUGGAGGAAUACCGAUGGCGAAGGCAGCCAUCUGGCCUAAUACUGACGCUGAGGUACGAAAGCAUGGGGAGCAAACAGGAUUAGAUACCCUGGUAGUCCAUGCCGUAAGCGAUGAGUGUUCGUCCUUGGUCUGCCUGCCUACUAGGUAGGAUUAGGAUCAGGGGCCCAGCUAACGCGUGAAACACUCCGCCUGGGGAGUACGGUCGCAAGACUGAAACUCAAAGGAAUUGACGGGGGCCUGCACAAGCGGUGGAGCAUGUGGUUUAAUUCGAUGCAAC
RNAcentral lists this ribosomal RNA (577 nucleotides) under Anophryoides haemophila. RNAcentral describes it as "partial Bacterial small subunit ribosomal RNA". It matches the Rfam family "Bacterial small subunit ribosomal RNA", at positions 406 to 960 of the family's 1533-position model. Lineage: Eukaryota; Ciliophora; Oligohymenophorea; Philasterida; Glauconematidae. The record is from RNAcentral.